RNAcentral lists this unclassified non-coding RNA (1273 nucleotides) under Leishmania donovani. RNAcentral describes it as "gene:LdHU3.01.0670(CDS-product:tricarboxylate_car rier_putative)". The record is from RNAcentral. Lineage: Eukaryota; Euglenozoa; Kinetoplastea; Trypanosomatida; Trypanosomatidae.
CUUCGCUAUCGCCCUUCUUCUUUUUCUUGGUGUGGCUCCAAGCACAGUGACACACACGCACGCGCGCACACAACAGGAACGUAGCGCCUUGGAGACUGAUACGAAAAAUGGCGGCCGCCACCUUCUCGAUGGAGGGGUCCAAGUACGAGAUGAGCACCUUCUUGGGUCGCGCCCGGUACUGGAGCGAGGCGAUCAACCCUAUGCUGCUCCUCGAAAACGAGAGGACGCUUCAGAAGCACCAGAUGCUGCUCGAUCGGUGGAAGGAUGGGCAGGCCGGCAACGUGCCAAGCGCCGACCUCUGGCGCGCGCGCACGGCCGUUGAGAGCUGCAUCCACCCGACCACGCAGGAGGUCAUCCCCCCUGCCUUCCGCAUGUCAAUGUUCCUGCCCAUCAACUACUUCGUUGUCCCAUUCAUGAUGCUGCCGUCGACGGUCAUGAGCGUGGGCCGCACGGUGGCGAUCCAGUGGUUCAACCAGAGCUACAACAGUGCUGUCAACUACGCCAACCGCUCGUCCGACAAGCAGCCAGUUUCGGAGAUCCUGAAGGCGUACACGGCGGCGGUCGUCGUGGCGUGCGGCGGCAGCCUGCUGGCUACCAUGUGGCUGAAGCGCAUCCCGAGCGGCACGGCCACCUCGACGCUGAUCCGCGCGACGGUGCCUUUCCUCGCCGUCAGCUGCGCCGCAACAGUGAACUUGGCGAGCAUGCGCAAGAACGAGUGGCUCAGCAGCGGGCAGGGUAUCCGCGUCGUCGACGACGAUGGCGUCACGCGCGGCACGAGCACCGCGGCUGGGUGGGACAGUCUGAAGAAGUGCAGCGUCGCGCGCGUCAUAUGGAAUCUGCCGUGCAUGAUGCUGCCGGCGCUGAGCACGAUGCCGCUCAUGCGCAUCAGCCCCUUCGCCAGGCGCCACUCAGCGCUCACCGAGUGUCUGCUGCAAUUGUUCGGCCUCACGCUCGGCGUGCCGCUGGCGCUGGCCGCGUAUGACCUUCAUCAGGCCAUCCCAGCCUCGAAGCUGGAGCCGCGGUUCCACAACCUCAAGCGACGCGACGGCUCACCUGUGCAGACACUCAAGUACUACAAGGGGCUGUAGACGCCACUGUGUGCGUGUGUGUGGGGGGGGGGGGGGGGGAUAACGUCGGAAAGGGGGCGAUGUAGCGACAUGGAAGUCGCACGCGCACCGUCAACGAGGUCGCAGCCCAGCGAGAGUCCUGGGCUUUUGAGCAGCUUGGGUGUCCACCCCUCUGCCUGUGUACGUGUCUCUUGUGUCUGUUGUGU